Molecule: ribosomal RNA, 2250 nt
Filed under: Salmonella enterica subsp. enterica
Lineage: Bacteria; Pseudomonadati; Pseudomonadota; Gammaproteobacteria; Enterobacterales; Enterobacteriaceae
Also listed under: 1 other name
Description: partial 23S ribosomal RNA
Rfam family: Bacterial large subunit ribosomal RNA
Source: RNAcentral
AGACCCGAAACCCGGUGAUCUAGCCAUGGGCAGGUUGAAGGUUGGGUAACACUAACUGGAGGACCGAACCGACUAAUGUUGAAAAAUUAGCGGAUGACCUGUGGCUGGGGGUGAAAGGCCAAUCAAACCGGGAGAUAGCUGGUUCUCCCCGAAAGCUAUUUAGGUAGCGCCUCGUGAAUUCAUCUCCGGGGGUAGAGCACUGUUUCGGCUAGGGGGCCAUCCCGGCUUACCAACCCGAUGCAAACUGCGAAUACCGGAGAAUGUUAUCACGGGAGACACACGGCGGGUGCUAACGUCCGUCGUGAAGAGGGAAACAACCCAGACCGCCAGCUAAGGUCCCAAAGUCAUGGUUAAGUGGGAAACGAUGUGGGAAGGCCCAGACAGCCAGGAUGUUGGCUUAGAAGCAGCCAUCAUUUAAAGAAAGCGUAAUAGCUCACUGGUCGAGUCGGCCUGCGCGGAAGAUGUAACGGGGCUAAACCAUGCACCGAAGCUGCGGCAGCGAACGUAUCACCCAAGACAACUUUACGGAGUUGACGAUUGACGGAGCGAAGCGACGUCAAAGCGUUCAUUAAAGUCGAGUUGGCUUAGGGAUACGUUCGUUGGGUAGGGGAGCGUUCUGUAAGCCUGUGAAGGUGUGUCGUGAGGCAUGCUGGAGGUAUCAGAAGUGCGAAUGCUGACAUAAGUAACGAUAAAGCGGGUGAAAAGCCCGCUCGCCGGAAGACCAAGGGUUCCUGUCCAACGUUAAUCGGGGCAGGGUGAGUCGACCCCUAAGGCGAGGCCGAAAGGCGUAGUCGAUGGGAAACGGGUUAAUAUUCCCGUACUUGGUGUUACUGCGAAGGGGGGACGGAGAAGGCUAUGUUGGCCGGGCGACGGUUGUCCCGGUUUAAGCGUGUAGGUGUGUGUUCCAGGUAAAUCCGGUUCACUUUAACACUGAGGCGUGACGACGAGGCACUACGGUGCUGAAGCAACAAAUGCCCUGCUUCCAGGAAAAGCCUCUAAGCAUCAGGUAACAUCAAAUCGUACCCCAAACCGACACAGGUGGUCAGGUAGAGAAUACCAAGGCGCUUGAGAGAACUCGGGUGAAGGAACUAGGCAAAAUGGUGCCGUAACUUCGGGAGAAGGCACGCUGACACGUAGGUGAAGUGAUUUACUCAUGGAGCUGAAGUCAGUCGAAGAUACCAGCUGGCUGCAACUGUUUAUUAAAAACACAGCACUGUGCAAACACGAAAGUGGACGUAUACGGUGUGACGCCUGCCCGGUGCCGGAAGGUUAAUUGAUGGGGUCAGCGCAAGCGAAGCUCCUGAUCGAAGCCCCGGUAAACGGCGGCCGUAACUAUAACGGUCCUAAGGUAGCGAAAUUCCUUGUCGGGUAAGUUCCGACCUGCACGAAUGGCGUAAUGAUGGCCAGGCUGUCUCCACCCGAGACUCAGUGAAAUUGAACUCGCUGUGAAGAUGCAGUGUACCCGCGGCAAGACGGAAAGACCCCGUGAACCUUUACUAUAGCUUGACACUGAACAUUGAGCCUUGAUGUGUAGGAUAGGUGGGAGGCUUUGAAGUGUGGACGCCAGUCUGCAUGGAGCCGACCUUGAAAUACCACCCUUUAAUGUUUGAUGUUCUAACGUGGACCCGUAAUCCGGGUUGCGGACAGUGUCUGGUGGGUAGUUUGACUGGGGCGGUCUCCUCCUAAAGAGUAACGGAGGAGCACGAAGGUUGGCUAAUCCUGGUCGGACAUCAGGAGGUUAGUGCAAUGGCAUAAGCCAGCUUGACUGCGAGCGUGACGGCGCGAGCAGGUGCGAAAGCAGGUCAUAGUGAUCCGGUGGUUCUGAAUGGAAGGGCCAUCGCUCAACGGAUAAAAGGUACUCCGGGGAUAACAGGCUGAUACCGCCCAAGAGUUCAUAUCGACGGCGGUGUUUGGCACCUCGAUGUCGGCUCAUCACAUCCUGGGGCUGAAGUAGGUCCCAAGGGUAUGGCUGUUCGCCAUUUAAAGUGGUACGCGAGCUGGGUUUAGAACGUCGUGAGACAGUUCGGUCCCUAUCUGCCGUGGGCGCUGGAGAACUGAGGGGGGCUGCUCCUAGUACGAGAGGACCGGAGUGGACGCAUCACUGGUGUUCGGGUUGUCAUGCCAAUGGCACUGCCCGGUAGCUAAAUGCGGAAGAGAUAAGUGCUGAAAGCAUCUAAGCACGAAACUUGCCCCGAGAUGAGUUCUCCCUGAGACUUAGAGUCUCCUGAAGGAACGUUGAAGACGACGACG